GGAGAAGAUGAUAGUUAUUACCAUCCGGUCUUAAGUUGCAUACAAAAAAUCAGUUUUUGUAACGUGGUGAUUGACACAUUAUAUAUGAUUC
Molecule: small nucleolar RNA, 91 nt
Organism: Lycium barbarum (goji berry)
Lineage: Eukaryota; Viridiplantae; Streptophyta; Magnoliopsida; Solanales; Solanaceae
Product: small nucleolar RNA U31b
Exons: 1
Source: RefSeq, a predicted model, not a curated record